UGGGCGGUGGCGAAGAGGUUAACGCACUUCUCUGAUAAGGAAGCAUGCGCGGGUUCGAAUCCCGCUCGCCCAAC
RNAcentral lists this transfer RNA (74 nucleotides) under Streptomyces phage TomSawyer. RNAcentral describes it as "tRNA-Ile". It matches the Rfam family "tRNA". Rfam says of the family: Transfer RNA (tRNA) molecules are approximately 80 nucleotides in length. Their secondary structure includes four short double-helical elements and three loops (D, anti-codon, and T loops). The record is from RNAcentral. Lineage: Duplodnaviria; Heunggongvirae; Uroviricota; Caudoviricetes; Stanwilliamsviridae.